RNAcentral lists this ribosomal RNA (2925 nucleotides) under Escherichia coli. RNAcentral describes it as "23S ribosomal RNA". It matches the Rfam family "Bacterial large subunit ribosomal RNA". Lineage: Bacteria; Pseudomonadati; Pseudomonadota; Gammaproteobacteria; Enterobacterales; Enterobacteriaceae. The record is from RNAcentral.
GGGUUGUGAGGUUAAGCGACUAAGCGUACACGGUGGAUGCCCUGGCAGUCAGAGGCGAUGAAGGACGUGCUAAUCUGCGAUAAGCGUCGGUAAGGUGAUAUGAACCGUUAUAACCGGCGAUUUCCGAAUGGGGAAACCCAGUGUGAUUCGUCACACUAUCAUUAACUGAAUCCAUAGGUUAAUGAGGCGAACCGGGGGAACUGAAACAUCUAAGUACCCCGAGGAAAAGAAAUCAACCGAGAUUCCCCCAGUAGCGGCGAGCGAACGGGGAGCAGCCCAGAGCCUGAAUCAGUGUGUGUGUUAGUGGAAGCGUCUGGAAAGGCGCGCGAUACAGGGUGACAGCCCCGUACACAAAAAUGCACAUGCUGUGAGCUCGAUGAGUAGGGCGGGACACGUGGUAUCCUGUCUGAAUAUGGGGGGACCAUCCUCCAAGGCUAAAUACUCCUGACUGACCGAUAGUGAACCAGUACCGUGAGGGAAAGGCGAAAAGAACCCCGGCGAGGGGAGUGAAAAAGAACCUGAAACCGUGUACGUACAAGCAGUGGGAGCACGCUUAGGCGUGUGACUGCGUACCUUUUGUAUAAUGGGUCAGCGACUUAUAUUCUGUAGCAAGGUUAACCGAAUAGGGGAGCCGAAGGGAAACCGAGUCUUAACUGGGCGUUAAGUUGCAGGGUAUAGACCCGAAACCCGGUGAUCUAGCCAUGGGCAGGUUGAAGGUUGGGUAACACUAACUGGAGGACCGAACCGACUAAUGUUGAAAAAUUAGCGGAUGACUUGUGGCUGGGGGUGAAAGGCCAAUCAAACCGGGAGAUAGCUGGUUCUCCCCGAAAGCUAUUUAGGUAGCGCCUCGUGAAUUCAUCUCCGGGGGUAGAGCACUGUUUCGGCAAGGGGGUCAUCCCGACUUACCAACCCGAUGCAAACUGCGAAUACCGGAGAAUGUUAUCACGGGAGACACACGGCGGGUGCUAACGUCCGUCGUGAAGAGGGAAACAACCCAGACCGCCAGCUAAGGUCCCAAAGUCAUGGUUAAGUGGGAAACGAUGUGGGAAGGCCCAGACAGCCAGGAUGUUGGCUUAGAAGCAGCCAUCAUUUAAAGAAAGCGUAAUAGCUCACUGGUCGAGUCGGCCUGCGCGGAAGAUGUAACGGGGCUAAACCAUGCACCGAAGCUGCGGCAGCGACGCUUAUGCGUUGUUGGGUAGGGGAGCGUUCUGUAAGCCUGCGAAGGUGUGCUGUGAGGUAUGCUGGAGGUAUCAGAAGUGCGAAUGCUGACAUAAGUAACGAUAAAGCGGGUGAAAAGCCCGCUCGCCGGAAGACCAAGGGUUCCUGUCCAACGUUAAUCGGGGCAGGGUGAGUCGACCCCUAAGGCGAGGCCGAAAGGCGUAGUCGAUGGGAAACAGGUUAAUAUUCCUGUACUUGGUGUUACUGCGAAGGGGGGACGGAGAAGGCUAUGUUGGCCGGGCGACGGUUGUCCCGGUUUAAGCGUGUAGGCUGGUUUUCCAGGCAAAUCCGGAAAAUCAAGGCUGAGGCGUGAUGACGAGGCACUACGGUGCUGAAGCAACAAAUGCCCUGCUUCCAGGAAAAGCCUCUAAGCAUCAGGUAACAUCAAAUCGUACCCCAAACCGACACAGGUGGUCAGGUAGAGAAUACCAAGGCGCUUGAGAGAACUCGGGUGAAGGAACUAGGCAAAAUGGUGCCGUAACUUCGGGAGAAGGCACGCUGAUAUGUAGGUGAAGUCCCUCGCGGAUGGAGCUGAAAUCAGUCGAAGAUACCAGCUGGCUGCAACUGUUUAUUAAAAACACAGCACUGUGCAAACACGAAAGUGGACGUAUACGGUGUGACGCCUGCCCGGUGCCGGAAGGUUAAUUGAUGGGGUCAGCGCAAGCGAAGCUCUUGAUCGAAGCCCCGGUAAACGGCGGCCGUAACUAUAACGGUCCUAAGGUAGCGAAAUUCCUUGUCGGGUAAGUUCCGACCUGCACGAAUGGCGUAAUGAUGGCCAGGCUGUCUCCACCCGAGACUCAGUGAAAUUGAACUCGCUGUGAAGAUGCAGUGUACCCGCGGCAAGACGGAAAGACCCCGUGAACCUUUACUAUAGCUUGACACUGAACAUUGAGCCUUGAUGUGUAGGAUAGGUGGGAGGCUUUGAAGUGUGGACGCCAGUCUGCAUGGAGCCGACCUUGAAAUACCACCCUUUAAUGUUUGAUGUUCUAACGUGGACCCGUAAUCCGGGUUGCGGACAGUGUCUGGUGGGUAGUUUGACUGGGGCGGUCUCCUCCUAAAGAGUAACGGAGGAGCACGAAGGUUGGCUAAUCCUGGUCGGACAUCAGGAGGUUAGUGCAAUGGCAUAAGCCAGCUUGACUGCGAGCGUGACGGCGCGAGCAGGUGCGAAAGCAGGUCAUAGUGAUCCGGUGGUUCUGAAUGGAAGGGCCAUCGCUCAACGGAUAAAAGGUACUCCGGGGAUAACAGGCUGAUACCGCCCAAGAGUUCAUAUCGACGGCGGUGUUUGGCACCUCGAUGUCGGCUCAUCACAUCCUGGGGCUGAAGUAGGUCCCAAGGGUAUGGCUGUUCGCCAUUUAAAGUGGUACGCGAGCUGGGUUUAGAACGUCGUGAGACAGUUCGGUCCCUAUCUGCCGUGGGCGCUGGAGAACUGAGGGGGGCUGCUCCUAGUACGAGAGGACCGGAGUGGACGCAUCACUGGUGUUCGGGUUGUCAUGCCAAUGGCACUGCCCGGUAGCUAAAUGCGGACGAGAUAAGUGCUGAAAGCAUCUAAGCACGAAACUUGCCCCGAGAUGAGUUCUCCCUGACUCCUUGAGAGUCCUGAAGGAACGUUGAAGACGACGACGUUGAUAGGCCGGGUGUGUAAGCGCAGCGAUGCGUUGAGCUAACCGGUACUAAUGAACCGUGAGGCUUAACCUUACAACGCCGAAG